Molecule: RNA transcript, 4070 nt
Organism: Oncorhynchus kisutch (coho salmon)
Lineage: Eukaryota; Metazoa; Chordata; Actinopteri; Salmoniformes; Salmonidae
Gene: cry2
Gene name: cryptochrome circadian regulator 2
Exons: 11
Source: RefSeq, a predicted model, not a curated record
GUAGUAGUGCAUUGGAUCCGUCCGUUCCACAUUUCUUGGUGCUGUUGACAGGACUGAAAAAGCGUAUCUGUUACAUCGUAAAAUGAAGACAUUUUAGGAUUUAUCUUGAUUCAAUUAGUUAUUUUUGGUACUACUAUGGACUAGCUUGGAAUCAUGGUUGUGAAUUCAGUGCAUUGGUUUCGUAAGGGACUGCGGUUACACGAUAAUCCGGCUUUACAGGAAGCUCUAAAUAGCGCAGACACUGUGCGAUGUGUUUAUAUUUUGGAUCCGUGGUUUGCUGGUUCCGCCAACGUCGGCAUCAACAGAUGGAGGUUUCUGCUGGAGUCUUUGGAGGACCUGGACAGCAGUUUGAGGAAGCUCGAUUCUAGGCUGUUUGUGGUGCGAGGCCAACCUGCUAACGUGUUUCCCAGUCUCUUUAAGGAGUGGAACGUCACCCGGUUGACCUUUGAGUAUGACUCUGAGCCUUAUGGGAAGGAGAGAGAUGGAGCCAUCAUUAAAAUGGCCCAGGAGUUUGGAGUGGAGACCAUAGUGAGGAAUUCUCACACACUCUACAACUUGGACAGGAUCAUUGAGAUGAACAACUGCCCUCCACUCGCGGUCAAGAAUCACCCGAUCGUUGAGAUGAACAACGGCAGUCCUCCGCUGACCUUCAAGAGGUUCCAGGCCUUAGUGAACAGGCUUGAGCUGCCUAUGAAACCCCUGCCCACCAUCACACAAGAACAGAUGGGCAGUUGUCGGACGAAGAUCGCUGAUAACCACGACGAACACUACAGUGUCCCCUCUCUGGAAGAGCUUGGAUUCAAGACUCAAGGCCUGGACCCUGCGGUGUGGAAGGGAGGGGAGUCUGAAGCACUAGAGAGACUCAACAAACACUUAGACAGAAAAGCCUGGGUAGCUAGCUUUGAGCGAGCCAGGAUCAACAUGUGUUCGCUGAUCGCCAGUCCCACGGGCCUCAGCCCGUAUCUACGCUUUGGAUGCUUAUCAUGUCGAGUCUUCUACUACAACCUGAGGGAACUCUACAUGAAGUUGCGGAAGAAUUGCAGUCCCCCGCUCUCUUUAUUCGGCCAGCUCCUGUGGAGAGAAUUCUUCUACGCAGCGGGAACCAACAACCCUAACUUCGACCGGAUGGAGGGCAACCCCAUCUGUGUUCAGAUCCCCUGGGACCAUAACCCUGAGGCCCUGGCCAAGUGGGCAGAGGGGAGCACAGGCUUCCCCUGGAUAGAUGCUAUCAUGACCCAGCUGAGGCAGGAGGGCUGGAUCCACCACCUGGCCAGACACGCAGUGGCCUGCUUCCUGACUCGGGGAGACCUGUGGAUAAGCUGGGAGAGUGGCAUGAGGGUGUUUGAGGAGCUGCUCCUGGAUGCAGACUGGAGUGUGAACGCAGGCAGCUGGAUGUGGCUCUCCUGCAGUGCCUUCUUCCAGCAGUUCUUCCACUGUUACUGCCCUGUGGGCUUCGGAAGGAGGACAGACCCCAGCGGAGACUACAUCAGGCGCUACAUUCCUAAAUUGAAGGACUAUCCCAACCGAUACAUCUAUGAGCCGUGGAGAGCCCCAGAGUCUGUCCAGAAGGCAGCCAACUGCAUCGUGGGAGUAGACUACCCCAAGCCCAUGAUCAACCACGCAGAGGGCAGCAGGCUCAACAUAGAGAGAAUGAAGCAGGUCUACCAGCAACUCUCCCACUACAGAGGCCUCAGUCUCCUGGCAUCUGUGCCCACCAUUCAGGAAGAGGCAGAGCCUCCCCCGACAGACGACUCUCAGGCCAGUAGCAGCACCUGUGGUAUGUUUGGAUGUAGUUCUUAUUUUGUAGUCUUUUUUAAAAUGUUUAUUCAUCCUUUAAUUAACCAGGGAAGUCCUGGUCAAGAAAGCAGCAUUUUUUCACGUUUUAGUUGCUACUUAGUUGGUUCAAUAAAAAAACAAGCAAAUGAUUUUGGAAUUGAAUCACUUGAAGCUUCUAACACAUUGGCUUUUCUUUUCUGAAAGUUUCAAUGCAUCAGCUAGACAAGGAAAUGUCUAUAACAGAAAGUGAAUGAUUUAAAUGUACAGGAAUAGACAUUACUAAUCUAAACUACUGAAUGCAGAGUCACCCCCACACACUUCGUCUGCCCAGUCCAACACUCUGAAGAGAGGCAGGUCUUCCGAACCACAAAGCACCCAGAUGUGCACCCACACAAAACACCAGCACACCAGCACUGCCAAAGGAGACCAGGUGCAGCAACAGGAGCAAUGGGAGGAACAGUCAGAGCAUCAGCCAGUGGAUCUGCAGUGACACACGGAUCUUGCCAUGUGGGAUGGUGUAUAACAGAAGGACAUGGCAGAAGACCUCUGAUGUCCUGCGCUCACCCCUAUCCUUGUGGCAAGACGAGUCACUUACAUACAUACACACACACACACAGAGCGUUUUACAAACCAUAACCACUUUCUAAAAUCUAAGAAUAACAGCAACUCCAGAUCAGUGUUAAAAACAGUACCAUACUGGCUAAUAAUGUAUGUGUAUACAACAAGGUUACAAUGAAGUUUGUUCUAAGAAGGUUAGUUCUUACACCUUUCAGCUUUCCUAAUCUAGCAUUAAAAAAAAAAUUUAAACAUUUACCACAACAUUUUAUUAGUGUGUGAAUAACCUCUUUAAGACUGCAAUAGACCCUCAAAGAUAUUAACCUUAGUGUUAAGAACUCACUGGGCAAUCUCAAACUGGGGGAAAUGUUUUAAAUCCCCCAAAAACUGAACACAUGCGUGUAAAUACGCAGGUCAUAUGGUCUAUAAAGAUUUGAUACGAUUUUUAUGUGCAUUUCAAAGAUGUGGAUAUGUGUUGCGAACAAUCUCCAUUCUCAACAUGUUUGUGUCUCUGAUUCCACUGUCCAUAAAUCUGUUUGCUAUUUUUCUGUAUGUUAUUUUGACUUCUAUCACAAUGAUGUGAUUGGUCUGUAAACUAAUAUUUUGCCUGUGGCAGAGAAUAUAUAUUAUCAAUCAGUGAAAUAACCAACAAUUGUUGGUGCCCUUCAAUAAAGCUAUAGAGAAUCAUAUUCUAUCAAACCUUACUGGAAAAAGAACGACACCCACUUGUUUCUACCCAUCAUGGGUAGUGAGGCUGCGGUCACACACGGAUGAAAAAUGCAUAUGCAUCCGUCACUGUCCAUUCACCUCAUUUAAACUUCUCACAUAUAAGUUGCUUAUGUAAAAAAAAAUGCGCGGACAAAACUGCUGAUAGACAUUUCUCAUUUCUGUAGCACAUCAACCUACAGAAAAUCCUUUUGGCUCAAUAUGUUUUAGAUUUUGUGAAUCCAUCGAUCAGGCUACAACACUACAGUUAAUGAUAAUGCUGUCUACUAAUACAAUAAUGACUUGUUUCAAUGAAAUACCAUAUGUGUAAAGGAUUUAUAUUAGUUCCUGCUAUAUUCUGUGUAAAUCAGCCUUGUGUGUGUAUCUCUCUUUCUUUUAUAUAUAUAUAUUAUUGUUAAAUAUAUCUUUGUCAAAACAAACAUGACUUUCCCUAAAACCUUGGUAGCAUUAAGAUAAUUUUAAGUCCAUUGGUAGGCAAUUUAUAUUUUCCAUUAACACAGUCACCAUCUUCUAAUCGUUUUGUCAGUCACCAACUAUUGUACAUCCCAAGCAAAAGUGUACGUUCACUAUAAUUUAAGCUGCCAUGAUGAGUUUUUGUUGAAUAGUUGUAUUUAUUUGUUUUGAAUUGUACAAAGGAGUUUAUUUUCAUUAAAGCCCUGAUAGAAUUGUGACCCAUUUCACUAUUCUUGGUUGUAAUUGUUUUAUGGACCUUACUAUCACAUUCUGGAAUUCACUAUUGUAGUGAUGACAAUAACUGUAGAAGAUAUAGUUUGUAAUAAAUGUCAUUGUGUUGUAUAUUUACUGAUGGAUGGCUACAGCUCUUUGUCUUGAGGUUAUGUCAUUUAGUCACUGGAGGGCCACAUGCAGUAGGUUGACACAGGAAUAUACUGGAAGUUUGGUAUCUGGUAGACAAGAUCGUAUUGAAUCUAAGGUCUAGGACUGAGCUAGAACUAUUGUCGGCUGAUCAUAUCUAUUAAUUGAUGCAACUAAUAAAAAUGCACUCCAACAACCUU